Small nucleolar RNA from Talpa occidentalis (Iberian mole), 72 nucleotides. RefSeq annotates it as small nucleolar RNA Z39. NCBI's taxonomy places the organism in Eukaryota, Metazoa, Chordata, Mammalia, Eulipotyphla, Talpidae. The record is from RefSeq and is a predicted model, not a curated record. The transcript has a single exon.
GCACAUAUGAUGAAGCAAAUCAGCAUGAAUUAAGUAUGAUAUUUUACUUAAAAGUAAACGCUUUCUGAUGUG